This 468-nucleotide ribosomal RNA is filed under the name uncultured bacterium. Its description in RNAcentral is "partial 16S ribosomal RNA". It matches the Rfam family "Bacterial small subunit ribosomal RNA", at positions 28 to 507 of the family's 1533-position model. The record is from RNAcentral.
GACGAACGCUGGCGGCGUGCUUAACACAUGCAAGUCGAACGGAAAGGCCCUGCUUUUGUGGGGUGCUCGAGUGGCGAACGGGUGAGUAACACGUGAGUAACCUGCCCUUGACUUUGGGAUAACUUCAGGAAACUGGGGCUAAUACCGGAUAGGAGCUCCUGCUGCAUGGUGGGGGUUGGAAAGUUUCGGCGGUUGGGGAUGGACUCGCGGCUUAUCAGCUUGUUGGUGGGGUAGUGGCUUACCAAGGCUUUGACGGGUAGCCGGCCUGAGAGGGUGACCGGCCACAAUGGGACUGAGAUACGGCGCAGACGCCUACGGGAGGCAGCAGGGGGGAAUAUUGCACAAUGGGCGGAAGCCUGAUGCAGCAACGCCGCGUGCGGGAUGACGGCCUUCGGGUUGUAAACCGCUGUCGCCUGUGACGAAGCGUGAGUGACGGUAAUGGGUAAAGAAGCACCGGCUAACUACGUG